This 6230-nucleotide long non-coding RNA is filed under the name Arachis ipaensis. RNAcentral's name for it is "long non-coding RNA (AIPA_LNC001218)". Lineage: Eukaryota; Viridiplantae; Streptophyta; Magnoliopsida; Fabales; Fabaceae. The record is from RNAcentral.
AGCCCCCACCCCCUUUCUUCCUAAACCUAACGCUGAAACGGAAUCAGACAGGGAGAGAGGGAGGAAAUCAGAGUGUCAUCUAAGCAGCCACCGUUCAAUCGCCAGAGCCACCACCGGGGGUCCUUCGCCGUCAUUGUCGUCAACAUCCACCCGAGUUCCAGCGCUACGAAGUCCAGCCAUCGUGACCUUCGUGGAGCCCGCGUCGCUGUCGCCUCGGCUGUUCCCACCGCCGCUGGAUCCGUCGCACGUUGUCGUCUGAGGAGCCACCGCCGCCGUUGCUUGUUGUCUCCCUUAGGGCCGUCACCGUCGCUGGAGCCAGCCGCCUCCGUCGCUGUUCAUCCUUGUCGUCAUCAUCGCCAUUCUGUGGAGGCCGCAGAGAGGAACGCGAACCAGGAGCCAUAGCGCCGCCGCCGUCGAUCUGUCACCGUGCUGCUGCGUCGCCGUUGAUGAAGUUUCUGCCACCGCCGUGAACUGCGAAUAGAGGAGAGUUACUGCGUCGCCGUUAAUGAAACUUCUGCCACCGUCAUGAACUACGAAUAGAGGAGAGGAAAAGAGAUGAGUUCGCAAGGGAGAAGAGGAAGCAGCGCUGCCCUUCGUCGCCGCUGCUGCUAAGGUUUGUGGAAGAGAGUGUCGUCGUCGCCGUGAGUGGAGUCCACCGUCCGAGCCGCCACUAGAGAGCGCCGCUGCUACCAUGUGUACAGAGAAGAGGAGAGCCGCGAGAAUCAAGGGAAGAAGAUGUUGUUCUGCCUCUGCUUCUGGGUUUUGGAAUCUGACAUAAGCGCCACUGCCGCUGUUAGAGUUUAUGUUGCUCUGGCCUUGCUCUGGCUCUAAUCUGAAUUGUUACUGUUGCUGUUUGGCUGAUGCUGAGGCCUUCCAUCAUCAUUGGAGCUUCCCAGAAUCAUCGUGGUUGCUGCCAAGAGAGCUGAAUGGGUGCUGGAAAUUGCUAACGGAGCUGCUGUGCUUGGCAAUUUUCGUGAGUUUCGACAUUGAGGUAGGGGAUUUAUUUUUAAAGUUAAACAUUUUUAAUUUAGAAUACCUACAAAGUUAUUGGAUAAGUGCAAAUGGUUAACACUGGUUAAGAAUUUCUUAAUUAACAUGAAUGACUUGAAAUGCAUUUGAAAUUAGUUAGUCGUUCUGAUUAUUCUGAGCUGUGAUUGAACUUAGAUGCUAUUGUGAAUAACGAUUAAUCUAGUGUAACUUAUUAAAUUGAAAUAUGCCGAGUUAAUUGUUGAACAGCUGUUGAAUGGAUAAUUGAUGAAUUGAGUUUGGAUUGCUGCUGUGAAUGUAAUUGGUUUUGUUGUUAUGAGAGACUAAUUGAUAGAAAUAAGCUUGGUUUGAGGUUGUGAAAUUUGGAUGAAAUUUGAUGAUGUUUUAGUGUUCCAGUUGGAUUAUUGAAUUCAGGUUAUGGCUGUGAAUGUCUUUGGGCUUUGUUGUUAGUGUUUGAAGCUGUAAUUAAUAUUGUUUUCUCUAAUAUUGAUGGAAUUGUUGCAAAGUUCUAACUCUAUGUAAUUAUACUGAAUUAGUUGAGUUGUGUGGCUAAAAAUUAUGAUUGGAAUGAUUGAGAUUUUUUAUUGGAACUUUGGUUGAAUUCGUUGAUUUUGUGAAAUUGAAUUAUAAAUUGUUUGAUGAGAGAUUAUUGUGAUUUCGGUAUUUUGAUGGGUCAAGUUGAAAUUGUUGCUGUUGAGUUGGUUUACUGUAAUGGACUUAGUUAGUGAUUAAUUGAAGUUGGGCUUAAGGAAUAAUUGGAAGACUGAAUCUUAAAAUGUUGAAUUAAUUGCUGAAAAUCUGAUUUUUGAAAUUAAAAGAUGACUUUAGAAGUGAAUCAGUUAUUCAACGAUAAUCGAAAUGAUAUGAGAGUAAAGGCUGAUUAAACUAUAAUAAAAGUUGUUGCUGGGAUUCAAUUUUGAGAAGUUUGAAUUAACUAUAGAACUAGUUAUGAUUUUUCAAAGUUAAAAUGUAAAACUUGAUUUUCUGCAUUACUUUUAAAUGAAGCCGGAGACUUUGAAAAUCUAUAACUAAUUCUAUGAUGUUCGGAAUUGCAUGGGACUAAGUCUAGAUUAAGCUUGGGAAUAUAGGAAGCUGGACUGGUAAAUUUAAGACUUUUUCAUUAAGUUUAUGAUUUAUGGUGAAUUUUUGGAUUAUGAAUGUCAAAUCUGGUUUUCUGCAGAAAGCUUAACACAGCAGCAACUUGUUCCCUCUAUUAAAUAUUCUCCAGUUUGAAUUUUGAAAUCGAACCAAUUUUAAAUGAAACUCUGGUCCUAGUACUUUAAUUUCAUAAAAAGUUAGAAUUUUUAGAGUUGUGGUUUUAAAGAUAUGGAUUUUUAAAGUAAGAUGUAUUAUGCAGUAAAAAUCAGGUUUUGUUUUCUAAGUUAGUAACUUUCAGACUUUAUAAUUUUUAAUUCUGGAAUGAUAUUGAGAUGAAAUUAAUUGGAGGUGAAAUUUGAGUAUGUUUAGUAUAUAUGAUUUAAAUUUCAGGUUUUUCCAUGUUUUAGUAAGUUAGUUAUGGGACUUGGAAGAGGUUGUGUUCAAUGAUUUGUAAAACAGACUUCAGCAGAAAAUUACCUAACUUCCAAGCUACGUAACUCCUCCAUUAAAAAUGGUAUGACCCUGGAACCAAUUGAGAAAGAAAUUUGGAUAAAUUAUGUUUAACAACAUUAAUUUUGAAGGUGGUUGGAUUUAAUUUGGAUUUUAUAUAAAAUUUUGAAUGUUGUACACUGCUGCUGUCUUCUGGUUUUAAGGCACUACAGAGCAGUCACGGUUUUGCUUAUAUUCCUGAAGCUAGAGUCCGUGAAAAAUUGUGAUUUUUGUUUAAUAGAAAGCUUAAUUCGAGACGGUCGCAUGGCUAUAAGGUUUGCAUAAUUCCGAAAUCGUUUGAUAUUUUAAAAAUAAAACUGAAAUUAGAUUGCCGAUGUUGUUUUGGUGAUUACUUGGAUAUGGAAUUUGAGAAAUAGAUUUUCUAUACUAUUAUCAAAUGUUUUUGAGAAUAUAUUAUUGUGGCAAUUGUUGAGAAAGGUUUGAUAAGAUGUUGGGAAAGAGGGAACCCGUAAGGGUGGUUAAGUCCGAGUUUUAGGGGAGAUGCUGUCGAAAUUUUAUAAAAAACUGAGGUUUUAUUUGAGAAGUCAUUUUAGAAAAUUUGAACUUGAAAAAUUAUAUUAUUUGAGUUUUAUCUAAAUAAGAGAAAAAUUAUACUAUUUUGAAUUUGGAAUUACCAAGAAAAGGUUUAUGUUUCAAGUUUGAAUUAUUUAAGAAAGGAAUUAUGUUGAGUUUGAUUCAUUAUGAAAAGGGUUAUGAUUUGGUCUUGAAAUAAAGGAUUACUUUUCAGGAGUUUGGUGAAUUUUAUAAUAUUUGAAUCCGAAUGAUAAAGAGAAAUGGUUUGAGCUAAGAUGUUGUAAAAGUGAAAGAUGUAUAGUUUGUAUAGUAUGAUUGAAUUUGAAUAGCAUAAGUGAACAGAGAAAGAAAGAGGUACUGCACAAGAAUGUGAAAGUGAAGAUGAAUAAUGAAAAUGAUAAUAAAUGAUGAUAAUGAGAAUGAUUAUAAGAUGAUCUGCUGCGUGAUGGCAGUCAGAUAGAUAGUGGUACGACCACAGAACCUUUUCCAGUGCUACACAGCUAUUGAGAGCUAUACCUGCAACUGAUAGACUGGGAUCACUUGUAGAGGAUAUUAAUUCGUACACGGCUAGAAUGUCGCACCUGUAACGCAAGGAUUGCUUACAGAGGAUAUGAUUUCAUACACGGUUGGAAUGCCGCAACCUGUAAGGCAGGGUCGGCUUACAGAGGAUAUGACGCAUAUGUCGGUUAGUGAGAACUGUACCUAUGCUGACUGGAAAACCAUACCCAUUUCAGCUGCUUCGGGUUACGUCGGGAGCGGGUAGAAACUAACAAAUGAGCUCAUUACCUGCACUAGGGCUAGACAUGCAUCAUCCUUAUUUGCGCAUUUGCAUUUGAUUGUGUUUGCUUGUCUUAUUUCUUUGUAAUUGUGCUGUUUGUCUUGUUGUAAUUUGUUUGAAUGUUCAAUUAAAUCUCUUGCUUGUACUUUUUGCUUCUGAAUGUUUUAAAAAGAUUAAUAAUUGACGUUGUGAUUGAGAACUAAUUAAGUGACUGAAAAAUGAUUGAUAUAAUUAAUCUUGUCAUUGGGAUCUGUUUUGAGUUUAGGAAGAGGCGAUCAAUUAGUUAAAGUAAAGCUAAGAGUAUAUCCAAAAGGUUUGAUGAAAUAUUGUUUCCUUAAGUAUGUUAAUUAUUUGUAUUUUAUUUCAUUACUUUUACGGCAUUCCCGUUCCCUACUGAGAACGUGUGGUUUGUUCUCACCCCAAAAAUCAUCCACCUUUUCAGUGACACAGGUUCGAAGACACAGUGUGAAGCUGCGGGCGAUUAUAGAAUUUAUUUAUGAGUUAAGUGUGAGUUAAUUUGCUUUCAUAGGGUUCCCUCGCCCUUAUUGCUUACGAUUUUUAUUUUAUACAGAGGGAUAGGAUUUGUAUCUGAGUUUUAUUUGAAAUCUUUUGUAUGACAGAUAUUAUUAUUAAUAAUUAUGUGAUUAUUACUACUUGGAAAUGUUUGAUAUAUGAUUUUGAUAAUCAAAAAUAAAAAUUUUUCUGGAAUUUUCCAUAAAACUAAAUCGUGAUAUCGAACUAAAGGCUCAAUAGUAAAUAGUUAAUAAAGGAAAGCAGGUUGGUAACGCCUUACUUUCGGUACGAUCAUGACGUUCUGGAAGUUGGGUCGUUACAAAUGGUAUCAGAGCAGUUCGUUCCUGUUAGAGCCUUGGGAAUGAACUGACUAUGCUUUAUUACAUACUCUGAGUGUCUGUCAUGCUUUGUGACUUGUUCUGGUAACAAGAGUUUGAGUUCUAUAUGCAUGACUGUCUGAUGAUUAACGCUGUUGGUUUACCAUUGCAUGCUUCAUGGUAUUAGGUCUGGCCAACUUAAUACUAAUGAUUUAUGUAUAUGGAAACACUAAUAGGUUAUCAUAGAUGAAAUAGAAGUUAUAAGUGAUGCGACUCACGGGGUUUGGGAGCGUUAGAGGUUAUUAAGUUAGCUUCGAUUCGAUGUAUAAUCUUUAUUCGUGCCACAUGAACUCGUGCCAUCCUUUUCUUUGUUGCUUUCAUUGGAAUUCUCUGGUUUGAAUUUCUUCCUUAGAAUGUGAUUUGAUUGUUUUCCAACCAUACCUUGUCAUUCUUUUAUACCUUUACUUGCCUUUGAAUCUGAUUGCUUACAUAACUCUUUGAAUGUUCAUCCUUGCCAAUGCCUAUACUUUUGUCCAUAUAUUCUGCUUUCUUUGAUUUUAGUUUGAACUUAUUUUAUUCUAGCAAUUUUCGAGGGCGAAAAUUUUUCUAACGUGGGUAGAAUGUAACAACCCUAGCUUUCGAAAAUCAAAUAACUAGUUAUUUGUGAUUUAUUAUAUUUGUUGAUAACUUUAUUUUAAGAAAAUUAUUUUACCAAAGGUAAUUAAAUACAUUUUCAUGAUAAUUGAAGUUAAAUUGAUUAGAAUUUUUAUAUAAUCUUUAUUGGAUAUAUGGUAUAAUUGAAAUUAUAAGUUUGAUAAUUGAAAAAUAAUAGAGAUUUGUAUGAUCUAAUCUAGAAAAUUGAUAUUUGAAUUUAAAUUGUACUUUACAAAAUAUAAUGAACUUGUUCAUUUUAUAAUGUAAAUUAGAAAUAAUUGAUUGAACUUAGCAAUAUGUUGAUAAAUAAUGUUCUUAAAUAUUUUUAAUAAAGUAUAUUUGGUUUUAAAAUUACUCUACCCUUCAAUUUUAUCAAAAUAUCUAUUCAUAUCUAUCCAUAUUCUUUUAUAAAAUCCCUAAUUCCUAAACCUAAAUUCCCAAAUUAAAUCAGAAACCCUAAUUCCCAAAUCCCAGAAACCCUAACCCUAAUUUUUCCCCCAUUUUCCCAGCCUCUGAACGUAGCCCCCAUCCCCUUUCUUCCUAAACCUAACGCUGAAACGGAAUCAGACAGGGAGAGAGGGAGGAAAUCAGAGUGUGAUCUAAGCAGCCACCAUUCAGUCGCCAGAGCCACCGCUGGGGGUCCUUUGCCGUCACUGUCGUCACCAUACACGCGAGUUGCAGCACUGCGAAGUCUAGCCAUCGUGACCUUCGUGGAGCCCGCGUCGCUGUCGCCUCCGCUGUUCCCACUGCCGCUGGAUCCAUCGCGCGUCGUCGCUGAGGAGCCACUGCUGCCAUUGCUCAUUGUCUCCCUUAGGGCCAUCACCGUAGCUGGAGCCAGCCGCCUCCAUCGCCGUUCAUCC